UACGAAGGGUGCAAGCGUUACUCGGAAUUACUGGGCGUAAAGCGUGCGCAGGCGGUUUUGUAAGCCAGAUGUGAAAGCCCCGGGCUUAACCUGGGAAUGGCAUUUGGGACUGCAAGGCUUGAGUGCGGCAGAGGAGACUGGAAUUCCUGGUGUAGCAGUGAAAUGCGUAGAUAUCAGGAGGAAUACCGAUGGCGAAGGCAGGUCUCUGGGCUGACACUGACGCUCAUGCACGAAAGCUAGGGGAGCAAACAGG
RNAcentral lists this ribosomal RNA (253 nucleotides) under uncultured bacterium. Its description in RNAcentral is "partial 16S ribosomal RNA". It matches the Rfam family "Bacterial small subunit ribosomal RNA", at positions 524 to 776 of the family's 1533-position model. The record is from RNAcentral.